This 271-nucleotide ribosomal RNA is filed under the name uncultured bacterium. RNAcentral's name for it is "partial 16S ribosomal RNA". It matches the Rfam family "Bacterial small subunit ribosomal RNA", at positions 793 to 1055 of the family's 1533-position model. The record is from RNAcentral.
GUCCACGCCCUAAACGAUGGUUACUCGGUGUUCGAUGGAUUAACCCAUUGAGUACCUAAGCUCACGCAUUAAGUAACCCGCCUGGGGGAGUACGGUCGCAAGGCUAAAAACUCAAAGGAAUUGACGGGGGCUCACACAAGCGGUGGAGCAUGUGGCUCAAUUCGAGGCAACGCGAAGAACCUUAUCCUGGGUUUGACAUGCAGGGAUUAACUCCAUGAAAGUGGAGCCACGCCUUCGGGUGGAACCUGCACAGGUGCUGCAUGGCUGUCGU